ACCUGCUAUACACUUCUACCACAACAGGUAGGUAGGUAGAGACCCGCUAUACACUUCUACCACAACAGGUAGGUAGGUAGAGACCUGCUAUACACUUCUACCACAACAGGUAGGUAGAGACCUGCUAUACACUUCUACCACAACAGGUAGGUAGAGACCUGCUAUACACUUCUACCACAACAGGUAGGUAGGUAGAGACCUGCUAUACACUUCUACCACAACAGGUAGGGACUAUACACUUCUACCACAACAGGUAGGUAGAGACCUGCUAUACACUUCUACCACAACAGGUAGGUAGGUAGAGACCCGCUAUACACUUCUACCACAACAGGUAGGUAGGUAGAGACCUGCUAUACACUUCUACCACAACAGGUAGGGACUAUACACUUCUACCACAACAGGUAGGUAGGUAGAGACCUGCUAUACACUUCUACCACAACAGGUAGGUAGAGACCUGCUAUACACUUCUACCACAACAGGUAGGUAGAGACCUGCUAUACACUUCUACCACAACAGGUAGGUAGAGACCUGCUAUACACUUCUACCACAACAGGUAGGUAGGUAGAGACCUGCUAUACACUUCUACCACAACAGGUAGGUAGGUAGAGACCUGCUAUACACUUCUACCACAACAGGUAGGUAGGUAGAGACCUGCUAUACACUUCUACCACAACAGGUAGGUAGAGACCUGCUAUACACUUCUACCACAACAGGUAGGUAGGUAGAGACCUGCUAUACACUUCUACCACAACAGGUAGGUAGGUAGAUACCUGCUAUACACUUCUACCACAACAGGUAGGUAGGUAGAGACCUGCUAUACACUUCUACCACAACAGGUAGGUAGGUAGAGACCUGCUAUACACUUCUACCACAACAGGUAGGUAGGUAGAGACCUGCUAUACACUUCUACCACAACAGGUAGGUAGAGACCUGCUAUACACUUCUACCACAACAGGUAGGUAGGUAGAGACCUGCUAUACACUUCUACCACAACAGGUAGGUAGGUAGAGACCUGCUAUACACUUC
Non-coding RNA from Oncorhynchus mykiss (rainbow trout), 1026 nucleotides. The record is from RefSeq and is a predicted model, not a curated record. NCBI's taxonomy places the organism in Eukaryota, Metazoa, Chordata, Actinopteri, Salmoniformes, Salmonidae.